ACCUGUAGUUCAGAGUGGAAUAUUUUCACUGGGGUGUCAGACAAGUGCCAGUUUCAGCACAAGAGGAGAAAUAAGACCACAUGGCCGGGAACAAAGCAGGGGAGUGAGGCUGCUUCCCCAAUCAGCAGUGGCAAGCUGUCAAACUGGCUCAACUGUUGUGUGAAAUCUCAAGCUAAAAGAGGAUUUAGAUCCUUCAGUAAAGAAGCAGAGGAAAACAAUCAAGUUGCUGGUUUUCUGGUAGUGUUGAUUUAUUUUCUGUUCAUCCUGCAAAUAUUCUUUCUGAAAUUUACUUUAAAAAAAAUAAUAAUCAGUUGGGCUUUGAGGGGGAGCUUCCAAGUUAAUCUACAAAUAACACAGCAUAAUGAUCAGACCUUACAGCAGAGAGAGUUAUAGCAUCUGUUUUAUAGGACAGUGUUUCCAUCUGAGAAUGUCCCCAUUCAGAAAGGCUUAGUAAUUAAAGAAAUCCAAAAUUUUUCACAAGAUGCUACAAAAAUGAAACAAACCAUUUUAGGCUAUGAAGUUAGUGGGCCAUUUGCUGGUCUCCUUGCUGCAAAAUGACCUUUCUGACUACCUGAUGGCUUGCCCUGGAGAGGCCUUGGGCUCCAGCCAGCACUCCAGGCCAAGGCCCCUUGCUACAGCUGGCUGAGCCUCUGGGUUAGAACCUAGGCCCAGCAUCCCGCAGGUUAGGGCCUUCCAAACCCACCCUGCUCCCAGAGAAAGCCCCAGGGAAUAGUUCAUCUUGUCAGGAGCUCUCUUACUCUCUUGCCUGCUUUAGUGCUUGCAGUAAGCAGCUACAGCAAACCAGGGGAUCUGUGUGUGCACUCUAAGAUGGCCAAAAAAAUUGAUGGCCUUUGGAGUCAAUGGGACUAAGUUUGCUCAGGAGCAUGCCCUUAGUUAGCAUCCUGCAACAAAAAGGCCUGGAGUUUAGUAAGGAAAUGCUCUCAGGGAUUUAUAGUAUUGAUGACUGUAACCAAGCCUGGCAGCCCUUGGAUCUUACAGCUCUCUCUGGACCUAAUCAAAGGCCAUUGACGUAAACUAAAACAUUUGACUUCAGAGAACUGUGGAUCAAACUCUGCAUCUACACUGACUGAAUUUGCACUCCCCUCAGACACAACCUCACUUUAAAUUCUUUUCUUCUGACAGGCCUGUAGCCUCGUUCCUCUCUCUUAAGCUGGGAGGGCAUUUCACUGCUCUCUGUGAUGCCCAGAAGUGACUUUUCACUUCUCAUGGUGCAGUUUCACAUCAUACCCAAUUCAGUGUAACUGCUGGCUGACACCAGAAGUCCCAUCCCUGUUUACCUUAUGUCAGGUUCAGAUACUAUAUGAUCUUAGCAGCAUAAUUAGACAUAAAAUUAGCCUAAUCCCCCCCUUUCUCUCAGAAAGGAGCCACCGUC
Molecule: long non-coding RNA, 1393 nt
Filed under: Anas platyrhynchos platyrhynchos (common mallard)
Lineage: Eukaryota; Metazoa; Chordata; Aves; Anseriformes; Anatidae
Description: lncRNA (ENSAPLG00000028138.1)
Source: RNAcentral